RNAcentral lists this long non-coding RNA (206 nucleotides) under Ananas comosus (pineapple). RNAcentral's name for it is "long non-coding RNA (ACOM_LNC037127)". The record is from RNAcentral. Lineage: Eukaryota; Viridiplantae; Streptophyta; Magnoliopsida; Poales; Bromeliaceae.
CCGAGACCAGAGAUAGCGGUACCCUGAGUCGGCCUUACUUAGGGAUGUAAGAAAAUGAAAGGAAUAAGAUUGUAAUAAUUUGUAAUAAAAGUAUGAUUAUAUUCGGAAGUUAAAUGUAAAAUGUAAUUGUGAUGUAAAAUAUAUCUUGUGAAUGUGAAUGCUUGUAAUAGCAAGUAGAUUAUGUUUUUGAUACUUUCUUAUGCAAU